This 226-nucleotide long non-coding RNA is filed under the name Carica papaya (papaya). RNAcentral describes it as "long non-coding RNA (CPAP_LNC015784)". The record is from RNAcentral. Lineage: Eukaryota; Viridiplantae; Streptophyta; Magnoliopsida; Brassicales; Caricaceae.
CCCAUUUUCUUGGGAAGUUCUCGUGUUGCACCCUUUUUUUUUCAGAUGAUUCUUUCGACGUUACGCACGACUUGAAUUAUGAUCCGCAGGUUUAUUCGUAAAUGUGAGUCACGGCGCCGUGGCAUUUUACUUGAUAUUAGAACGAGAACGGGAGGUGCAGUGCCCAUGCACAAGUAAACAAAUGACGGGAGGGGGAAGAAAGGAGAAGGAGUGUAUGUAUUUACAG